AUUGAACGCUGGCGGCAUGCCUUACACAUGCAAGUCGAGCGGCAGCGCGGGAGCAAUCCUGGCGGCGAGCGGCGAACGGGUGAGUAAUGCUUCGGAAUCUGCCCUUCAGUGGGGAAUAACCAGUCGAAAGACUGGCUAAUACCGCAUACGAACUGAGGUUGAAAGCAGGGGAUCGCAAGACCUUGCGCUGAUGGAUGAGCCGAAGUCGGAUUAGCUUGUUGGUGGGGUAAUGGCCUACCAAGGCGACGAUCCGUAGCUGGUCUGAGAGGACGACCAGCCACACUGGGACUGAGACACGGCCCAGACUCCUACGGGAGGCAGCAGUGGGGAAUAUUGCGCAAUGGGGGAAACCCUGACGCAGCCACGCCGCGUGGGUGAUGAAGGCCUCGGUU
This 392-nucleotide ribosomal RNA is filed under the name uncultured bacterium. Its description in RNAcentral is "bacterial SSU rRNA". It matches the Rfam family "Bacterial small subunit ribosomal RNA", at positions 29 to 424 of the family's 1533-position model. The record is from RNAcentral.